UAGAGGAUGAGGAUGAGGAGUGGUUGUGGGAGCGGAGCAUGGCAGUGACAGGAAUCAGAUUUCCCAGCAGUUUGACUGUAGAGAGGGGAGGAGAGGGGCUGGGCCUGAUUUCCCUUCAGACACUCCCAGUGUUUUAAGGCUCUGAGCUCAGCCAGCAGUCUCUGGACUCCCCUCAGAGUGCAGGACCAGCGUGUCUGCACACCUCCCUAGACUCUCUGUCUCUUCUCCUCCCAGGGGAGAGUGUCUCCUGAAGACUACCCACCUCUGGAAGUCUGACUUAUAAUAUCACUGGUGAGAUCUGUACUUUGGCAGCAUAUUUCCACUGGCAUGUGUCAAGGAUAGAAAUGGAUCCUGAAGGUGCACGUAUCCAAGAUGAUCCAGAUGUGAAGGUGAUGAUAGCAGGAUCAACUCUGAGGAAAGUCAAGUCUCGUUCCUGGAAGAAACAGCGGCAUUUCCGGCUUCUGGAGGAUGGCCUGACAAUCUGGUACAAGUCAAGAUGGGCGGGGAGAGGUCACUCCACUUGUAAGUAUAGAAGAAUGUAUUUAUCUUUGCUUAGAUGAAUGUACGAACAUAUUAGCCCUUUGUUUAGUCA
Molecule: long non-coding RNA, 592 nt
Organism: Amphiprion ocellaris (clown anemonefish)
Lineage: Eukaryota; Metazoa; Chordata; Actinopteri; Pomacentridae
Exons: 3
Source: RefSeq, a predicted model, not a curated record